AACGAACGCUGGCGGCAUGCCUAACACAUGCAAGUCGAACGAGACCUUCGGGUCUAGUGGCGCACGGGUGCGUAACGCGUGGGAACCUGCCCUUAGGUUCGGAAUAACUCCCCGAAAGGGGUGCUAAUACCGGAUAAUUUCUUCGGACCAAAGAUUUAUCGCCUUUGGAUGGGCCCGCGUUGGAUUAGCUAGUUGGUAGGGUAAAAGCCUACCAAGGCGACGAUCCAUAGCUGGUCUGAGAGGAUGAUCAGCCACACUGGGACUGAGACACGGCCGAGACUCCUACGGGAGGCAGCAGUGGGGAAUAUUGGACAAUGGGCGAAAGCCUGAUCCAGCAAGGCCGCGUGAGUGAUGAAGGCCUUAGGGUUGUAAAGCUCUUUUACCCGGGAUGAUAAUGACAGUACCGGGAGAAUAAGCUCCGGCUAACUCCGUG
Molecule: ribosomal RNA, 433 nt
Filed under: uncultured bacterium
Lineage: Bacteria
Description: partial 16S ribosomal RNA
Rfam family: Bacterial small subunit ribosomal RNA
Source: RNAcentral